This 1070-nucleotide long non-coding RNA is filed under the name Ficedula albicollis (Collared flycatcher). Its description in RNAcentral is "lncRNA (ENSFALG00000024696.1)". The record is from RNAcentral. Lineage: Eukaryota; Metazoa; Chordata; Aves; Passeriformes; Muscicapidae.
AUCCUUCCUAAAUCUCCAUGUCUUCCUGAUAAUAAUAAUAAUAAUAACUAUAAUAAUAACAAAAGGUGAAUUAAGCUGAAGGGAUGUUCACGGAGGCUCAAACCCACUGGAAGUCAAUCAUCACAUGCCAUUUUUAAGCACUCCAACUCUCAACAAGCCAGAGCUCCACGUGGGGUAGCACAGCUCCCUUCCAGGCAGGGUCUCUGUCCACACUGCUGCUGUCAGAAGGCAGCUGCAUAUUUAUCUCACAGAGCUCAGCAGGCAUCACUCUUGUCUUUUGAAUCACAAAGCAAACAUCUCUCCCUUACUUUGCCAUGGUCUAAUGUGUAGACUGUAUCUCCUUCAGCUGCUUCCAGCAGCAUGGCUUCAGCUCCAAAACUGGAGGUUUCAGCCUUUUCCCCGUUACAGGAUUCAGAUACUUUAACAAGUUUUACUUUGGGCAGAGGAGGAAUGGGAUAAAGAUUGAUACCUCUUCCUCUCCAGGCUGUGCCACCAUGCACAACAUAUCCAGGUUUACUGGCAUAGAGAGGAGCAGGAGCAAUGUCACCGGCCAGCACGGGGAGUGAGGAGUGGAUUUGUAUCCAGGCUCUGCGCAUGAGACAGUUUCUGUUAUUUCUACAGCGUCUUUAGUGUAAAUGCUGGCAGGAUAGCACCAUCAAAUAUCCACUUAACACGGGGUGGUUAGAGCCACAGUCCUGGCAGUGACCUCACCUUUCUGAGAGAGUCUGAACUUGCUCAGGCACAGGUGGAGGGGUUCUCCACUACCCUGGGCAAGUGUGCUCUCUCCAAGCAAGGCCUGAGGAUCUUCCCUGUGGUGAGGCAGAGGGAUGCCCGGCUGCAGCAUCAGCUCUCACUGAGCGCUGCGGAGGGACGCACCUGUCAGGCAGGGCGGGACAGUCCGGGGCACCUAGAGAAGAGCAGCUCACAGAAACCUAAGUGACGCUUGAAAGAGCCUCCUGGGAGCAGGGCACCUGUUCUGCGGCACGCCCCGCCCCUGUCCCCCUCCCAGAGCCCGGCUGCGGCUGCUUUAACCGGGCCGGGGGGGGGGGGGGGGGGGGGGGGGGGGGGGG